GCCCCCAUCAUCUAGUGGUUUAGGAUAUCUCUCUUUCAAGGAGGCAGCGGGGAUUCGAAUUCUCCUCGGGGUA
Molecule: transfer RNA, 73 nt
Filed under: Capsicum annuum
Lineage: Eukaryota; Viridiplantae; Streptophyta; Magnoliopsida; Solanales; Solanaceae
Rfam family: tRNA
About the family: Transfer RNA (tRNA) molecules are approximately 80 nucleotides in length. Their secondary structure includes four short double-helical elements and three loops (D, anti-codon, and T loops).
Source: Rfam by way of RNAcentral